AUGCAUAGGGGGCAAGCGUUAUCCGGAAUUAUUGGGCGUAAAGGGUGCGUAGGCGGUCUAUUAAGUCUGAGGUGUAAGUGCAGGGCUCAACCCUGUGAUGCUUUAGAAACUGGUAGACUUGAGUGAGAUAGAGGCAAGUGGAAUUCCAUGUGUAGCGGUAAAAUGCGUAAAUAUAUGGAGGAACACCAGUGGCGAAGGCGGCUUGCUGGGUCUAUACUGACGCUGAGGCACGAAAGCGUGGGGAGCAAACAGGAUUAGAUACCCUGGUAGUCCACGCCGUAAACGAUGAGUACUAAGUGUUGCGAGAACGCAGUGCUGAAGUUAACAUAUUAAGUACUCCGCCUGAGUAGUACGUACGCAAGUAUGAAACUCAAAUGAAUUGACGGGG
This 388-nucleotide ribosomal RNA is filed under the name uncultured bacterium. RNAcentral's name for it is "partial 16S ribosomal RNA". It matches the Rfam family "Bacterial small subunit ribosomal RNA", at positions 523 to 918 of the family's 1533-position model. The record is from RNAcentral.